This 815-nucleotide long non-coding RNA is filed under the name Phoenix dactylifera (date palm). Its description in RNAcentral is "long non-coding RNA (PDAC_LNC017608)". The record is from RNAcentral. Lineage: Eukaryota; Viridiplantae; Streptophyta; Magnoliopsida; Arecales; Arecaceae.
AAAAAAAAAGAAAAGAAAAGUGAAUUUAGUCAGAUACAUCGAAAAGGGCUACCUAUUGUCAAAGGUCAGCGGGCUUGUAUGAGGAACCCGAGCAUAGGUCCGUAGGGGAGUCUUAAUGCCCAACACCUUAUGCCAUCUGGUGUGGGAGUGUUGACUGAAUGCUCACUACACGGCGGAAUCAUUACAAGAGUAAAAGUGCAUAAUUUAUUUAUAAAUACAAAAUAAAAAAAAGAGAAAAAGAGAAAAUAAUAUUGACCUUGAAAAAGACGAUAGUGUGAAAGCUGUCGUUGUAAAAAUUCGAGUAAACUGGAAUAUUACAGAUAAAGCCCAUGAGGUAUUAAAGUAAACAUCCACAACUCUCGAAAUCCUGCAAAGUAGGAUGAUUUUGAAUCAGUGAUUAGGUCUUAUCCGACCAAUUCUUGGAAACUACUAGUUUUAGCAGUAUUUUGGAGAAUCUAAAGCCUUAGCUUGUGUAUGGUCCAGACAUCACCGAGCACCCAAGUAUAAAUUAGCCUUACAAUUCUCUAACAGAAACUUAAUGACUUCAAAUUAAUUUGCAUAUUGACUUAGGAUUUGGGCUAACUUAGUAAUUAAAACUUUGUGUGCUUUUGAAAUUAUUGGCACUUAUGCAAUUAGAUUUUAUAAAACAAUAAAAUAAAUUCUUUCGACAGCAGUUUGUGGGUAUCUGAGCCGGAAACCCUCACGAGACAAAACUCGUCCACUAGGGCCACCUAGGGGUUUAAAGCCUUAUUGCAUAUGGUAAAUGCAAUCGCGAUUCCUGCGAAAGUGAGUUAGUUUUUAUUUUGCUUGAGGAC